Molecule: ribosomal RNA, 1828 nt
Filed under: wastewater metagenome
Description: bacterial LSU rRNA
Rfam family: Bacterial large subunit ribosomal RNA
Source: RNAcentral
CCCUGACCUGCAGCUAAGGCCCCUAAUUCGUGGCUAAGUGGGAAAGCAUGUGGGACGGCCAAAACAACCAGGAUGUUGGCUUAGAAGCAGCCAUCAUUUAAAGAUAGCGUAACAGCUCACUGGUCUAGAUAAGCUGUCCUGCGGCGAAGAUGUAACGGGGCUCAAGCCACGAGCCGAAGCUCAGGAUGCACAGCGAUGUGCGUGGUAGCGGAGCGUUCUGUGAUAUAGCUCAUCAUGUCUUAUCUGCAGCGAUGCGGAGACGGACAUGGAGAGCUUUCUGUGAAGCCGGGCUGUAAGGCAUCCGGUGGAGAGAUCAGAAGCGAGAAUGUUGACAUGAGUAGCGACAAACAGGGUGAGAAACCCUGUCGCCGAAAGUCCAAGGGUUCCUGCUUAAAGCUAAUCUGAGCAGGGUAAGCCGGCCCCUAAGGCGAGGCCGAAAGGCGUAGUCGAUGGGAACCAGGUUAAUAUUCCUGGGCCAGUGGGAUGUGACGGAUCGCAGAUGUAGUUUGCCCUUAUCGGAUUGGGUGGGCUGCUGAGCGGUUCCUGGAAAUAGCCCCACAUCAGACCGUACCCUAAACCGACACAGGUGGACUGGUAGAGUAUACCAAGGCGCUUGAGAGAACCACGUUAAAGGAACUCGGCAAAAUGCCUCCGUAAGUUCGCGAGAAGGAGGCCCCAUAUGUGCGCAAGCAUGUGUGGGGGGCACAAACUAGGGGGUGGCGACUGUUUACUUAAAACACAGGGCUGUGCGAAGCCGUAAGGCGACGUAUACAGUCUGACGCCUGCCCGGUGCUGGAAGAUUAAGAGGAGGGGUGCAAGCUCUGAAUUGAAGUCCCAGUAAACGGCGGCCGUAACUAUAACGGUCCUAAGGUAGCGAAAUUCCUUGUCGGGUAAGUUCCGACCUGCACGAAUGGCGUAACGAUCUCCCCGCUGUCUCUAACGUGGACUCAGCGAAAUUGAACUGUGUGUCAAGAUGCACACUACCCGCGGUUAGACGGAAAGACCCCAUGAACCUUUACUCUAGCUUUGCAUUGGCAUCAGGAAUGUGAUGUGCAGGAUAGGUGGUAGGCAUCGAAGCGGGGACGCCAGUCUUCGUGGAGCCUCCCUUGAGAUACCACCCUUCGCCAUCUUGAUAUCUAACCGCGGCCCGUUAUCCGGGUCCGGGACCCUGCAUGGUGGGGAGUUUGACUGGGGCGGUCGCCUCCCAAAUUGUAACGGAGGCGCGCGAUGGUUGGCUCAGACCGGUCGGAAAUCGGUCGUUGAGUGCAAUGGCAGAAGCCAGCCUGACUGCAAGACUGACAAGUCGAGCAGAGACGAAAGUCGGUCAUAGUGAUCCGGUGGUCCCAAGUGGGAGGGCCAUCGCUCAACGGAUAAAAGGUACUCUGGGGAUAACAGGCUGAUGAUGCCCAAGAGUCCAUAUCGACGGCAUCGUUUGGCACCUCGAUGUCGGCUCAUCUCAUCCUGGGGCUGGAGCAGGUCCCAAGGGUAUGGCUGUUCGCCAUUUAAAGAGGUACGUGAGCUGGGUUUAGAACGUCGUGAGACAGUUCGGUCCCUAUCUGCCGUGGGUGCAGGAGACUUGAGAAGAGUUGACCCUAGUACGAGAGGACCGGGUUGAACGAACCACUGGUGGACCAGUUAUCGUGCCAACGGUAGUGCUGGGUAGCUAUGUUCGGACAGGAUAACCGCUGAAGGCAUCUAAGCGGGAAGCCCCCUUCAAAACAAGGUCUCCCUUGAGGGCCGUGGAAGACCACCACGUCGAUAGGCCAGAGGUGUAAGUGCAGCAAUGCAUUCAGCUGACUGGUACUAAUUGCCCGAUUGGCUUGAUCUG